Helicoverpa zea (corn earworm) is the source of this 161-nucleotide long non-coding RNA. RefSeq lists it as uncharacterized. Lineage: Eukaryota; Metazoa; Arthropoda; Insecta; Lepidoptera; Noctuidae. The record is from RefSeq and is a predicted model, not a curated record. The transcript has 2 exons.
GCAAGGGCUACCAUGCAAGAAAUGUGCAAUUGAUAACAGAUGCAGAUUUAAAUAUUUUACAUGUGGAUCCCACAUAUGGAGGAGCUACUCACGAUAGCUUCAUUUUUAAUUAUAGUGCUAUCAAAGACCAUUUAGAGGCAUUAACAAAUGCUGGUGAAGAA